This 253-nucleotide ribosomal RNA is filed under the name uncultured bacterium. RNAcentral describes it as "partial 16S ribosomal RNA". It matches the Rfam family "Bacterial small subunit ribosomal RNA", at positions 524 to 776 of the family's 1533-position model. The record is from RNAcentral.
UACGUAGGGUGCAAGCGUUAAUCGGAAUUACUGGGCGUAAAGCGUGCGCAGGCGGAUAUGUAAGUUAGAAGUGAAAUCCCCGGGCUCAACCUGGGAACUGCUUUUAAGACUGCGUAUCUAGAGUUUGUCAGAGGGGGGUGGAAUUCCAAGUGUAGCAGUGAAAUGCGUAGAGAUUUGGAGGAACACCGAUGGCGAAGGCAGCCCCCUGGGAUAAAACUGACGCUCAUGCACGAAAGCGUGGGUAGCAAACAGG